UCGUUUUGGACUGGCUUGGUUCAGGGCGAGAAGGAAGAAGGUGACCGUAGGGAUCUAGUAACCAAAAGAAGAAGAAGGUUUCUCGGUAUGGAAGAGCAGUUGUUCUUACACCAAUCGUUUCAUGCUUGGCUGUAUUGGUUCUAUCUUUCAUUGAGGAGAUAGAGUUUGUGUGCCAUUAAUGUGUAUCAGUGGUUCGAAUCCACGGAGAAGGUCAUGAAAGAGAUGGGUAGCAGAUGAGAAGUGGAUCCCAUUACAUCGGAAAAGGCCUUUUCACUCGAGGGCCAAGUGGCAUUAGAUUAAUACAUUGCCUUCCCUUUCUUCUUCUUUAGGACUGGGAUUUGUUGACUCCCUAACCUAAUACAGAUACCCAGCCCAGACCAGAGAAUAGCCAACUUCUUAUUCUUAUUGUAUGACCAUGCUGAGUUAAGAGAAAGCACCUUCUGUAAUGUCUACUACUUCUUCUCAACUACUUAAUCUAUUGCUGAAUGAUUGACUGUAGCUUGACCAGGGGGCCCUGGCCUUUGCUUCCAAGAUGUAUAGUUGUUUACGAGAUGUGAGAAGCAUGGAUUCCUCGAGAUGUCUAGUCAUAGUCUAUUGUGUCACUUCAAGGAUGAUUGCCGGGGACGACUUCAAUGAUUGUAUUUCCUCUGGUCCUGUUCAGGAAGAGGUGUUUUGGUCAUUUUUUUUAAUUGAAACAAGUUCCAACCACGAUGGUUUGGCGUGAGAGGUAGAGCCGAAUGGGCCGAUUUCCUUGCUUGUUACCAUCUCUUUCAAAUGUCCGUUCCUUCGUGUCUUAGACAAGGUGGGUUCACCCGUUAUGUCCUAAUAAAUAAGAAUUGGGUGUAGCAUUAGCUUUUUACAAGGUGACGACGGGAUAAGAUUGAAAAGAAAUAGGAAAACCAGCCCUUGAAUGGCAUGCUCCCUAUCUGUCUCAAUUGGCCGAGCUAAAUCGGUCAACCUAUGAGAAACUAGGAAACAAACUGGUAAAUUGCUCUUCUAUCUUACUGAAUCACUCAACUUCACUUCGAUUACUGCAUCGUUUGCAUACAUCUCCUAUCUGGGAUAAAAGGGUUUGAAGGCGGUAAACGCAUAUAGAAUGGUAACGGCUAAACAGAGUCAAUGUAUCCUCAGAAAAUAGAGUCCAGUGGUUCGAAUCCACUUCUAAAAGCGGGUGAAGGUGGGGAGACAUUAGCAACCUCAACUCGAGACGAGAAGGGGCACCUGAAUCUUCUAAUGAGGAGACCUUUUGACAUAACUCACCUAAAUUUUUUUCAUUCAUGGAUGAGGAUACAAUCUGGUACAAAAGACCAAGGAUAGAACCAAUUCAUCCCAUUCUUCGGUUGAAGCAGCUGCCCUUCCAUCAACAGAAUUGGCUCCUGCGGGCCUAAGUGGACCUUCUCCAUUAGUUCCAAACCUUGACGGUAGGGCUU
Molecule: long non-coding RNA, 1430 nt
Filed under: Amborella trichopoda
Lineage: Eukaryota; Viridiplantae; Streptophyta; Magnoliopsida; Amborellales; Amborellaceae
Description: long non-coding RNA (ATRI_LNC000065)
Source: RNAcentral